ACGCUAGCUACAGGCUUAACACAUGCAAGUCGAGGGGCAGCAUGGUCUUAGCUUGCUAAGGCCGAUGGCGACCGGCGCACGGGUGAGUAACACGUAUCCAACCUGCCGUCUACUCUUGGACAGCCUUCUGAAAGGAAGAUUAAUACAAGAUGGCAUCAUGAGUCCGCAUGUUCACAUGAUUAAAGGUAUUCCGGUAGACGAUGGGGAUGCGUUCCAUUAGAUAGUAGGCGGGGUAACGGCCCACCUAGUCUUCGAUGGAUAGGGGUUCUGAGAGGAAGGUCCCCCACAUUGGAACUGAGACACGGUCCAAACUCCUACGGGAGGCAGCAGUGAGGAAUAUUGGUCAAUGGGCGAGAGCCUGAACCAGCCAAGUAGCGUGAAGGAUGACUGCCCUAUGGGUUGUAAACUUCUUUUAUAAAGGAAUAAAGUCGGGUAUGGAUACCCGUUUGCAUGUACUUUAUGAAUAAGGAUCGGCUAACUCCGUGCCAGCAGCCGCGAUAAUACGGAGGAUCCGAGCGUUAUCCGGAUUUAUUGGGUUUAAAGGGAGCGUAGAUGGAUGUUUAAGUCAGUUGUGAAAGUUUGCGGCUCAACCGUAAAAUUGCAGUUGAUACUGGAUAUCUUGAGUGCAGUUGAGGCAGGCGGAAUUCGUGGUGUAGCGGUGAAAUGCUUAGAUAUCACGAAGAACUCCGAUUGCGAAGGCAGCCUGCUAAGCUGCAACUGACAUUGAGGCUCGAAAGUGUGGGUAUCAAACAGGAUUAGAUACCCUGGUAGUCCACACGGUAAACGAUGAAUACUCGCUGUUUGCGAUAUACUGCAAGCGGCCAAGCGAAAGCGUUAAGUAUUCCACCUGGGGAGUACGCCGGCAACGGUGAAACUCAAAGGAAUUGACGGGGGCCCGCACAAGCGGAGGAACAUGUGGUUUAAUUCGAUGAUACGCGAGGAACCUUACCCGGGCUUAAAUUGCAGAUGAAUUACGGUGAAAGCCGUAAGCCGCAAGGCAUCUGUGAAGGUGCUGCAUGGUUGUCGUCAGCUCGUGCCGUGAGGUGUCGGCUUAAGUGCCAUAACGAGCGCAACCCUUGUUGUCAGUUACUAACAGGUUCCGCUGAGGACUCUGACAAGACUGCCAUCGUAAGAUGUGAGGAAGGUGGGGAUGACGUCAAAUCAGCACGGCCCUUACGUCCGGGGCUACACACGUGUUACAAUGGGGGGUACAGAGGGCCGCUACCACGCGAGUGGAUGCCAAUCCCCAAAACCUCUCUCAGUUCGGACUGGAGUCUGCAACCCGACUCCACGAAGCUGGAUUCGCUAGUAAUCGCGCAUCAGCCACGGCGCGGUGAAUACGUUCCCGGGCCUUGUACACACCGCCCGUCAAGCCAUGGGAGCCGGGGGUACCUGAAGUGCGUAACCGCGAGGAGCGCCCUAGGGUAAAACUGGUGACUGGGGCUAAG
RNAcentral lists this ribosomal RNA (1448 nucleotides) under uncultured organism. RNAcentral describes it as "SSU rRNA". It matches the Rfam family "Bacterial small subunit ribosomal RNA". The record is from RNAcentral.